RNAcentral lists this ribosomal RNA (460 nucleotides) under uncultured bacterium. RNAcentral's name for it is "partial 16S ribosomal RNA". It matches the Rfam family "Bacterial small subunit ribosomal RNA", at positions 338 to 795 of the family's 1533-position model. The record is from RNAcentral.
CCUACGGGGGGCAGCAGUGAGGAAUAUUGGUCAAUGGACGAGAGUCUGAACCAGCCAAGUAGCGUGAAGGAUGACUGCCCUAUGGGUUGUAAACUUCUUUUAUAUGGGAAUAAAAUGUUCCACGUGUGGGAUUUUGUAUGUACCAUAUGAAUAAGGAUCGGCUAACUCCGUGCCAGCAGCCGCGGUAAUACGGAGGAUCCGAGCGUUAUCCGGAUUUAUUGGGUUUAAAGGGAGCGUAGGUGGAUUGUUAAGUCAGUUGUGAAAGUUUGCGGCUCAACCGUAAAAUUGCAGUUGAAACUGGCAGUCUUGAGUACAGGAGAGGUGGGCGGAAUUCGGGGUGUAGCGGUGAAAUGCGUAGAUAUCACGAAGAACUCCGAUUGCGAAGGCAGUUCACUGGACUGCAACUGACACUGAGGCUCGAAAGUGUGGGUAUCAAACAGGAUUAGAUACCCGAGUAGUC